Molecule: long non-coding RNA, 402 nt
Filed under: Gadus morhua (Atlantic cod)
Lineage: Eukaryota; Metazoa; Chordata; Actinopteri; Gadiformes; Gadidae
Description: lncRNA (ENSGMOG00000037151.1)
Source: RNAcentral
AUGGCUGAGUGUCUGCCUCCUCACCCGGAGCCAGACCUCCACCUCCUCACCCGGAGCCAGACCUCCACCUCCUCACCCGGAGCCAGACCUCCACCUCCUCACCCGGAGCCAGACCUCCACCUCCUCACCCGGAGCCAGACCUCCACCUCCUCACCCGGAGCCAGACCUCCACCUCCUCACCCGGAGCCAGACCUCCACCUGCUCACCCAGAGUCAGACCUCCACCUCCUCACCCAGAGCCAGACCUCCACCUCCUGUCAGAAGCCCUCCAGAACAGCUGAAAGGCGAGGCUGAGAGGCUGGGGACCGGAGGCUUGUGGUGCCAGGAUGGACCGGAGACUGAGGCUGGAGACCAGGGGCCUGCAGCACCGGACCAGAGGGUAACCAUCACUAAGCUCAUCUGA